AGAUUGAACGCUGGCGGCAGGCCUAACACAUGCAAGUCGAACGGUAACAGGAAGAAGCUUGCUUCUUUGCUGACGAGUGGCGGACGGGUGAGUAAUGUCUGGGAAACUGCCUGAUGGAGGGGGAUAACUACUGGAAACGGUAGCUAAUACCGCAUAACGUCGCAAGACCAAAGAGGGGGACCUUCGGGCCUCUUGCCAUCGGAUGUGCCCAGAUGGGAUUAGCUUGUUGGUGGGGUAACGGCUCACCAAGGCGACGAUCCCUAGCUGGUCUGAGAGGAUGACCAGCCACACUGGAACUGAGACACGGUCCAGACUCCUACGGGAGGCAGCAGUGGGGAAUAUUGCACAAUGGGCGCAAGCCUGAUGCAGCCAUGCCGCGUGUAUGAAGAAGGCCUUCGGGUUGUAAAGUACUUUCAGCGGGGAGGAAGGGAGUAAAGUUAAUACCUUUGCUCAUUGACGUUACCCGCAGAAGAAGCACCGGCUAACUCCGUGCCAGCAGCCGCGGUAAUACGGAG
RNAcentral lists this ribosomal RNA (515 nucleotides) under uncultured bacterium. RNAcentral describes it as "bacterial SSU rRNA". It matches the Rfam family "Bacterial small subunit ribosomal RNA", at positions 26 to 530 of the family's 1533-position model. The record is from RNAcentral.